Molecule: transfer RNA, 72 nt
Filed under: Tarletonbeania crenularis
Lineage: Eukaryota; Metazoa; Chordata; Actinopteri; Myctophiformes; Myctophidae
Description: tRNA-Ile
Rfam family: tRNA
About the family: Transfer RNA (tRNA) molecules are approximately 80 nucleotides in length. Their secondary structure includes four short double-helical elements and three loops (D, anti-codon, and T loops). Further hydrogen bonds mediate the characteristic L-shaped molecular structure. tRNAs have two regions of fundamental functional importance: the anti-codon, which is responsible for specific mRNA codon recognition, and the 3' end, to which the tRNAs corresponding amino acid is attached (by aminoacyl-tRNA synthetases). tRNAs cope with the degeneracy of the genetic code in two manners: having more than one tRNA (with a specific anti-codon) for a particular amino acid; and 'wobble' base-pairing, i.e. permitting non-standard base-pairing at the 3rd anti-codon position.
Source: RNAcentral
GGAUCUGUGCCUGAAUUUUAUAGGGUCACUUUGAUAGAGUGAAUCAUGGGGGUUAGAAUNCCCCCGAAUCCU